This is a long non-coding RNA of Aegilops tauschii subsp. strangulata, 2796 nucleotides long. RefSeq lists it as uncharacterized. Lineage: Eukaryota; Viridiplantae; Streptophyta; Magnoliopsida; Poales; Poaceae. The record is from RefSeq and is a predicted model, not a curated record.
GCUAAAAGCCACUGCUAACCCGGCAUUUUUUCGUCAGAUUCAACCGUCUCUCAUCUGUCAUAUCCCACGACUGCAGCGAUCAGCGUCGGCAGAUCGGGGAAGACCGCCCCGCCGGCCGAGCUCGGAUCCCCCAAAUCAACCAGCCCCAUGAGCACCUCGCUCUAUUCCCCCCUGAUUGCAGCGACCGGCGACGGCGGAAUGGAGGAAGCCGCCCCACCGGCCAAGCUCGGAUCCACGCAUCAACCCUGCCCGCCAGCACCCUGCUCCCUUUCCCCACCGAUUGCAGCGAACGGCGAAGGCUCAUGGAUGCCACAACCCGCUAUGGUUAAAGGGCCUGAACCUCCGGCUCUUGCUUUCUUUCCCCAAAAUAAAAGUUCAUAGGAAGGUCUCUGUGGUGUCCCAGCUCUAGAUCUAAGGGAUCACCAAGAUAAAUUUAAGGGAUUUGGGUGAGAAAAGCACCGAUGUGAGGUAGACGAUAGAGAGUAGGUGGAUCCUGCUAGGCUCACCGGUCCACCAUCCCCUGUCCCAGGGACCUGUGAUUGGUUGUCCGCAUCAGGACAUGGUGGAGGAGCGACAACCUUUUGCUCACUGAAGGUCGUAAUUGACGGUUUAGGUCCAACCUGCUGCUGAGCUAUAUCUUUUUUGAAAUAUUUUAAACUUUGCGUAUUGACAUCCUAUGAUAGGUGUGUGCAAAACUGCAGUAUUGAACAUGGUUUUGCAUUUGCUACAGCCUGCUAUGCUAAAAGGGCAGAACCUGAAUAUAUGCUACUGCUGAGAGAUUUCUUUUGCAGCCACGUGCUUGUAUGGCUACUCUUGCAUAUAGAAAAAAAUUAUAUGAUAACCCUCUGAUGGCUGUACCAUGCUGUAAUGAAAAAACUAGAUCCUCUUGAUUUUUGGAUGGUGUCAUAAUCAGAUGAACAUAAACACAUGAACUAAACUAUAAAAGGAGAACUAAGUACAAGCAGGAAGCAACACAUUCUUGUAUCCUUGUAUCCACAUGUCCGAAUAAACUAGCUUCUAUAUGCAACUACUUUGUCUAUGCCAAAACCUGAAUCCUAUAGCCUGCUUGUGGUUCUGCUGCCACAUAAAUAGUCCUUAACUAGUGUUGUCAAAACUGAAUAAAAACUGAGACUGCAUUGUAUAGCCCUAUACCAAUGUACUUUUCCCUCUACUACCAGAUAAAAUAGAACUAAACUUAAUCUGAAGCCCACAAGCAUUUUCAGUAGGCCCAGGACUUGAUAAAAGCUAAUACAUGGUAAACUUCAGUUUUUGUCUAUAUUCUGACAUACUCAACUGUGUAAAACCGCUGCUCCUACUUUACAAACAUACAACACCAUCCACCAAGCCUUUAUUUUGAAACAGUAUAGUAAACUUUCUAGUUUUCUAAACUAUGCCAGCAGCUACAGUAAUCGUAUAAUUUUUGUUAUUUCUCUGGUCUUGUUUUUCUUGGCUUGCUUCCUGCUUCUCCCUAAUCGUAUAAUUUUUGUUAUUUCUAACUACUUGUUGGUAGUGCUGCCUGUUUUCGAGUGUUUUACACAAUCUAGUUUCUUUUUGUCUACUACCAAUGUAAAGCCAACUUUUAACAGAUAAGUCAAUGUAAUCAGUUACGUUACAAGUCCAUAUGCUUACUCUUAGUGCAAGCAAGAUUAAAUGUUUUUCAUUAAUUUCACUUUAGCAAUUAUUUAUAUAAACAUUAGUGCAUCCUGUGUUUGCAUCCUAAGUUAACUACUUUAUUAUAUUAAUGUAAGCUCCAGGGAAGUACAUUUGCACAUGUAAAAUGGCUGCAUCUUUUAAGGUUUAUUUCCAAAAAAGUUGAAGCAUAAUUCAUUUAUCUACUGCUGAUAACAUAGGAUGGUAUGUCUUUUGGCAAUUCAUUAGGUUCACUCACUGUCAUCUUUUCUAGCUUCAGUUACUAAAAUCAUGCCACCAGUUCCGGAGGUUGAGAGGUAAAGUAGGGCAUAUCUUGUGAAACAGAAAUGCAAGGUCAAGGCGUAUUUGAAGUAAAGGAAUGUAAGGAUUGUGUAGCGCAAAGCUGCGGAGCAGCAACCUCUUAAAGAUACAAAGCAUAGCUCGUAGUCUUGUAUACCCUACUUCCUCUAGUGCGCAACCGACACAAUUGCUCGAGGUGUCGACGAUCCCAGUGACUCGGAGUAUGAACCAGAUGCUGAAGAGGAGGCCCAUGCAGAGGAAUAGGUUUUGAGAGAUGAAGAGGGGGUCGCUCUUACUAUGUCCAAAUUAAUGGCACCUCAAGAAAGAAUUGAACAGAAGGAUAGAGAGGCAAAAGUUGCAAUUGACAGAUGGAACACGAUGUUCUGCUUCGUCAAUUUAUGGGUGGCGGGAGGAGUUAGCGGAGAGACUUGAAGCACAAGAUAGAGCAUUUGAAGAGAUGUAGAGGAAGCAUCAAGAAGAAUUAAAAGCUACUCCCUCCGUUCCUUAAUGAACGGAGGGAGUAUUAAGAAGAGCCAACAAGAAAAGAAUUAAGCCUGUGAAAAGAAGCAACGGGAGAUGGAUAAACUGAUUGGUUUCCUCUUAAGGCUCAAGCAACUCAGCAAGCAAAUCUGUCAACCUGAUUGUGCAUGAAGGCCAUCCUUUCGUGAUAGACAGAUAGUUGCUAACUCAUAUACAUUGCAAUCAUGAGGACAACACAUGUGUUCUUUUAGUUAUCCAAAUAUUACUUUUCGUCUUGUCUAUUGUCGUGUCAAACUUGAGUAUGUGCUAUUUUUAUUGUUAUUUCUAUUUAGAGGAUGAUUCGGCUGAGAUGAUUGAAUAGAUAAUAUGAUUUGUUUUUCAUUUCAA